GGAGGGUGCAAGCGUUAUCCGGAUUCACUGGGUUUAAAGGGUGCGUAGGCGGGUUGGUAAGUCCGUGGUGAAAUCUCCAAGCUUAACUUGGAAACUGCCGUGGAUACUAUCAAUCUUGAAUAUCGUGGAGGUAAGCGGAAUAUGUCAUGUAGCGGUGAAAUGCUUAGAUAUGACAUAGAACACCAAUUGCGUAGGCAGCUUACUACACGAUCAUUGACGCUGAGGCACGAAAGCGUGGGGAGCAAACAGGAUUAGAUACCCUGGUAGUCCACGCCCUAAACGAUGGAUACUCGACAUCAGCGAUACACUGUUGGUGUCUGAGCGAAAGCAUUAAGUAUCCCACCUGGGAAGUACGAUCGCAAGAUUG
Molecule: ribosomal RNA, 367 nt
Filed under: uncultured bacterium
Lineage: Bacteria
Description: bacterial SSU rRNA
Rfam family: Bacterial small subunit ribosomal RNA
Source: RNAcentral